This 492-nucleotide ribosomal RNA is filed under the name uncultured bacterium. RNAcentral describes it as "partial 16S ribosomal RNA". It matches the Rfam family "Bacterial small subunit ribosomal RNA", at positions 29 to 507 of the family's 1533-position model. The record is from RNAcentral.
AGUGAACGCUGGCGGUAGGCCUAACACAUGCAAGUCGAACGGCAGCACAGUAAGAGCUUGCUCUUACGGGUGGCGAGUGGCGGACGGGUGAGGAAUACAUCGGAAUCUACUUUUUCGUGGGGGAUAACGUAGGGAAACUUACGCUAAUACCGCAUACGACCUACGGGUGAAAGCAGGGGAUCUUCGGACCUUGCGCGAUUGAAUGAGCCGAUGUCGGAUUAGCUAGUUGGCGGGGUAAAGGCCCACCAAGGCGACGAUCCGUAGCUGGUCUGAGAGGAUGAGCAGCCACACUGUAACUGAGACACGGUCCAGACUCCUACGGGAGGCAGCAGUGGGGAAUAUUGGACAAUGGGCGCAAGCCUGAUCCAGCCAUACCGCGUGGGUGAAGAAGGCCUUCGGGUUGUAAAGCCCUUUUGUUGGGAAAGAAAAGCAGCUGGUUAAUACCCCGCUGUUCUGACGGUACCCAAAGAAUAAGCACCGGCUAACUUCGUG